AAUAUUCAAAGGUCAAUGUGUUUCAUAAGAUUUGUGGGGGCGGGAUUAUCGUCAUUAACUAAUUACUUGAUGUCAUAUUUCAAUGGGGAGUGGUGUAAUGCCCGCACGACUGUUGACUUUCAUUGUAAUUGCUUGAGCUGGUUCCUGGGCCGCCUCAGACAGCAAGAUGGUGUGUCAAGUAUCAUGGCCUGACAGGAAGGCUUUCCGGUUAUGACUGAGGCCAGCAUCUCACGUGUCCUGGCUACGCCAAAUCACUGCGGAUGCCGGAUGCCGAGGACCGGAGAGCCAACCGCUUUGAGGCGUGAGCUCUGUGGCGUGGCUCGAGUGACCACCAGCUUCUGACGGCUACGGCGCCGUCGACCUGGUUGAAUAGCUGGGGCCUGGACGAUGGUGCCCUUAGUACGGUGACCAAUCGGUUACGUCCGAGGGGCGUUCGAACACGCUGCCGUCGCGUGGCUGCCGGCGGCCGCCCCCUCGCACGUGAAUCUCCUGGAGCGAGGACUGCGAGAGGCGGCCGCAUCAUCACCUGUGUCCGCGCUUAACACCGUGCCACGCACUAAUGGCGGAAGCCCGACUUACUCCUAUGGAGGAGCGAAGCUGGACGCUGGCUGCCAGGCUGCUGGGGAGGGCGCUGGGUCUGCCAUCAGGGGACCCCCUGCGCGCGACCGCCGAGGCCUCGACACCGGCGCGCCUGUCUUCGGUCCGAGGCUGGAGAUUGCGAGGCCGCCAGGCCUGGGCGAGAGCGAGAAUCCCACCGUGGCAACAGACGGCUGGCGGCAUUUUCCGGUUGGACGUGUGCCCGAUACGGGCUGGGGCCACGGCGGCGGAAAGGGAAAGCGUGGCUACGCUUCACCUCGCGUUCCUGCCCCUGUGUGCUGUCCGGCUUUGGACGGACGGAUCUGCGGAGGGCGGAGUCUUCAGGCGCUGGGCGGGAGCCGUGCUGGUCUGACUGGACGAAGAGGCCGAGGAACUGCGGGCCCCGGCCGGAGAGCUGUGCUAUAGCUACCGCGCGGAGAUGGUGGCGCUGUUGACCGGUCCGGAGACCCUACUCGGAAGAGACAGAGACCAGGACCUGCGGUCCGUACCUAUCUGCUAACUGUGCGGUGGUGCUGGUGUAGUGCAGCAUCUUUGGAUGGAUAGCUACAUUUCACGAUUGAAUAGCUGUUACGUUUCUGACAUUGUUCUGACAUUGACAUUUUUCUUUCUUUCGUUUGAUAAUGGUCUGUUGGCCGAAAUAUCACGUAAAUAAAAAGGUAACUUUGCAUUAAUUUUGCUAUAGACUCGAGAAAUAAGGUCAAUGUUUUUCUUUCAUAUAACUGUAUCAAUCAUGUUCCUCGCCAGAGCACUGGCAAACAUUAAUGCUGUUACGUUUCAGUGCAGGCGGCGUGACGAACAAUGUGGUAGUUAUCUGUUGGCCACUUCUGCGGCCGCUGCUAUUUCCUACUCGAAGGCGGGCGCGCUGUUUGGCUGGGCCGGCAGGAUGUUCCCAUUACCUAUUUGUCGACGACAAAGCGAGUAUAUUCAUGUUCUUUUAAUGCACAGUGGUCUGUUGUAUAUUUGAAGUUUUAUUUUAGGUUCACGAUUGCGAAGGGCAGAUUCAUCUUCUCUCUUUCAUUUUUGUUGCCACUUUAGCGUUCAUGUUUGUUAUAAGUGUCCUGGUCCGGCUUGAUUGUCAUCUUUAUUCGUGGUAUAUUUUAUUUUACGAACAUGCUGGUGAUCAAUGCAAUACACUUUUGGUUAAUAAUGCUGCUUUAGCUCUGAUCCUUUGUGGGAUGUCUUGAUUGUACUACUGCGAUAGUGAUUUUUCCUCACCAAAAUAUGCAGGCAACAAAUGUAAAUGCUGCCAAAUGUUUGUCAUUGCGUGAUGUAUCUAAAAGACAUCAAGUUCCUG
RNAcentral lists this long non-coding RNA (1891 nucleotides) under Amphibalanus amphitrite. Its description in RNAcentral is "uncharacterized LOC122371660". Lineage: Eukaryota; Metazoa; Arthropoda; Thecostraca; Balanomorpha; Balanidae. The record is from RNAcentral.